UUUGAUAUUGACUCUUCGUUUUAUUUGAAAUUUUUUACGAUUAAUAUUUUUUUCUUACUAGAUGAUAAACCAUAAAUAGUACUUUAUGCGUGACUAAUUUUUUAAGUUUUUAUAUAAAUUUUUUAAAUAAGAUGAAUGGCCAAACGUUGGACACGGAAA
Molecule: microRNA precursor, 159 nt
Filed under: Oryza brachyantha (malo sina)
Lineage: Eukaryota; Viridiplantae; Streptophyta; Magnoliopsida; Poales; Poaceae
Description: MIR812 microRNA precursor family
Rfam family: MIR812 microRNA precursor family
Source: Rfam by way of RNAcentral